CACUGUAAGGCUCUUUUAGAAUUUAUCUAGCAAGUUUUCUUGUUUUUACCAGAAAACUCCU
Homo sapiens (human) is the source of this 61-nucleotide small nuclear RNA. The record is from Ensembl. NCBI's taxonomy places the organism in Eukaryota, Metazoa, Chordata, Mammalia, Primates, Hominidae.